GUCUUCUUCCAGAAACCAUGACACUAUGGCAGGCCAACUUACUAGCUUUCAAGUAAGGUAACAUCUCAGACCAUCAUAGGUUUUGACAGGGGAAACUCUGAAGGACCACAGGAGUUGGAGGUUCCACGUAUCUCUAAGUAGUAACAUACGAUGGGUCCAAAACAGAAGAAAGAGAACUCAAGAUUCCCGAGCCACAGAGCUGUUGAUUGGAGGCUGACUCAGAGAAACCCUGGAUUCAGUGACAUACAGAGACAACAGGUACAGGAUCAGUAUGGGUUUUAAUUGAGGGGCUCGGCACCAAAUGACAGACUUGACACAUCCACCCCCACCAUGGAUGCUGUCCGUCCACUGUUGCACAAUGUCCUUCAGUGUCUAAUUUACAGAUCCAGCUGUAUUUCCCCUUCCACCUGCAUCCCUGAAGUUCCUCCCACCUGAAAACUUCACCUGACCCAAGAAAGCAAAGGAAAAAACCCGGAGAGCCAGCUCAUAGUCUGGUUCACUGUUUAACAGCCAGAAGCCAGAGCCUGCGUACUAGAAGUGGAUGCCCAGGAAGUACUUGUGAGCUGACUAAGAAUGUAAGAACGCCACCCACUUCAUUCAGGAAAGUGAGGCAGGAUUCCAUGGAGUAUGAAUGACUGCACAUGGAACAAGCAGGUUAUCAUUUAUAUUCAGCAAGGGACCUCCAUGAACAGGACAUUUGGGGAGCUGCUAUCAAACAUCAGAACUUCUGACACUGUGCACACAGUCUUAUAUUGUGCCUUGUCUGUUGUGAUGUCUCACUACAGUAAUGAUUAAGAUGAUGAGCACUUAUGCGUUGAUAUUGCAAUAUGUCUGCGUAAGAACUAUCGCUAAGGCAGGUUAUAUUAUUACCCUCAGUGUAUAGGUAAGGAGGUUAGACUGAUAACUUACCCAGUGUCACAUAGGUAGUAA
Molecule: long non-coding RNA, 930 nt
Filed under: Homo sapiens (human)
Lineage: Eukaryota; Metazoa; Chordata; Mammalia; Primates; Hominidae
Description: HSALNT0380320
Source: RNAcentral